CGCGGCCUAUCAGCUUGUUGGUGAGGUAGUGGCUCACCAAGGCGACGACGGGUAGCCGGCCUGAGAGGGCGACCGGCCACACUGGGACUGAGACACGGCCCAGACUCCUACGGGAGGCAGCAGUGGGGAAUAUUGCACAAUGGGCGAAAGCCUGAUGCAGCGACGCCGCGUGAGGGAUGACGGCCUUCGGGUUGUAAACCUCUUUCAGCAGGGAAGAAGCGAAAGUGACGGUACCUGCAGAAGACGCGCCGGCUAACUACGUGCCAGCAGCCGCGGUAAUACGUAGGGCGCAAGCGUUAUCCGGAAUUAUUGGGCGUAAAGAGCUCGUAGGCGGUUUGUCGCGUCUGCCGUGAAAGUCCGGGGCUCAACUCCGGAUCUGCGGUGGGUACGGGCAGACUAGAGUGAUGUAGGGGAGACUGGAAUUCCUGGUGUAGCGGUGAAAUGCGCAGAUAUCAGGAGGAACACCGAUGGCGAAGGCAGGUCUCUGGGCAUUAACUGACGCUGAGGAGCGAAAGCAUGGGGAGCGAACAGGAUUAGAUACCCUGGUAGUCCAUGCCGUAAACGUUGGGCACUAGGUGUGGGGGACAUUCCACGUUUUCCGCGCCGUAGCUAACGCAUUAAGUGCCCCGCCUGGGGAGUACGG
Molecule: ribosomal RNA, 643 nt
Filed under: uncultured Actinomycetes bacterium
Lineage: Bacteria; Bacillati; Actinomycetota; Actinomycetes
Description: bacterial SSU rRNA
Rfam family: Bacterial small subunit ribosomal RNA
Source: RNAcentral